CAGCCGUAAACUAUGCGCGUUAGGUGUGCUGGUGACCACGUGUCACCGGGGUGCCGAAGGGAAACCGUGAAACGUGCCGCCUGGGAAGUACGGUCGCAAGGCUGAAACUUAAAGGAAUUGGCGGGGGAGGCACCACAACGGGUGGAGCCUGCGGGUUUAAUUUGGACUCAACGCCGGAAAUCUCACCGGAUAGGACAGACAAAUGAUAGUCGGGCUGAAGACUCUACUUGAUGAUCUGAGAGGAGGUGCAUGGC
Molecule: ribosomal RNA, 254 nt
Filed under: uncultured archaeon
Lineage: Archaea
Description: partial 16S ribosomal RNA
Rfam family: Archaeal small subunit ribosomal RNA
Source: RNAcentral